RNAcentral lists this ribosomal RNA (497 nucleotides) under uncultured bacterium. Its description in RNAcentral is "partial 16S ribosomal RNA". It matches the Rfam family "Bacterial small subunit ribosomal RNA", at positions 28 to 507 of the family's 1533-position model. The record is from RNAcentral.
GACGAACGCUGGCGGCGUGCCUAAUACAUGCAAGUAGAACGCUGAAGAGAGGAGCUUACUCUUCUUGGAUGAGUUGCGAACGGGUGAGUAACGCGUAGGUAACCUGCCUUGUAGCGGGGGAUAACUAUUGGAAACGAUAGCUAAUACCGCAUAACAAUGGAUGACACAUGUCUUUUAUUUGAAAGGGGCAAUUGCUCCACUACAAGAUGGACCUGCGUUGUAUUAGCUAGUAGGUGAGGUAAUGGCUCACCUAGGCGACGAUACAUAGCCGACCUGAGAGGGUGAUCGGCCACACUGGGACUGAGACACGGCCCAGACUCCUACGGGAGGCAGCAGUAGGGAAUCUUCGGCAAUGGGGGCAACCCUGACCGAGCAACGCCGCGUGAGUGAAGAAGGUUUUCGGAUCGUAAAGCUCUGUUGUAAGUCAAGAACGGGUGUGAGAGUGGAAAGUUCACACUGUGACGGUAGCUUACCAGAAAGGGACGGCUAACUACGUG